GGUGAAUACCCAAUAUCAUGUGAGUCUUCGUCAUCUGCUCCUCUCUUGUUAGCUAAGUCACAUUUUUCCCCAAAGCACCCAGGACCAUGUCCCUUGGGAAGGUCUGAGACUGGGGACAGCAGUAAUUCUAACAGGGCCUUCCUUGAGCCUCAGGGAGGUGAGUGCCCAGAGAACAAGGCCCUGCAGGAGGGCACCCUGGGCAGGAGAUGCCACAGAGCCGGCUCCCGGGGAGGGGUCUGGUGGACGCCACCUUAGCCUGAGCUUGGAACAAAACUAACCUGGGCUUCUAUAUAAAUUUCACC
Ribozyme from Heterocephalus glaber (naked mole-rat), 302 nucleotides. It matches the Rfam family "Nuclear RNase P". Rfam says of the family: Ribonuclease P (RNase P) is a ubiquitous endoribonuclease, found in archaea, bacteria and eukarya as well as chloroplasts and mitochondria. The record is from Ensembl. Lineage: Eukaryota; Metazoa; Chordata; Mammalia; Rodentia; Bathyergidae.